This 252-nucleotide ribosomal RNA is filed under the name uncultured bacterium. Its description in RNAcentral is "partial 16S ribosomal RNA". It matches the Rfam family "Bacterial small subunit ribosomal RNA", at positions 524 to 776 of the family's 1533-position model. The record is from RNAcentral.
UACGGAGGAUGCAAGCGUUAUCCGGAAUGAUUGGGCGUAAAGCGUCCGCAGGUGGCUAUUCAAGUCUGCGGUCAAAGACUGGGGCUUAACCCUGGAAAGGCCGUGGAAACUGAAGAGCUAGAGUGCAGUAGGGGUAGAGGGAAUUCCCGGUGUAGCGGUGAAAUGCGUAGAGCUCGGGAAGAACAUCGGUGGCGAAAGCGCUCUGCUGGACUGCAACUGACACUCAGGGACGAAAGCUAGGGAGCGAAUGGG